This 65-nucleotide transfer RNA is filed under the name Apatania sp. YW-2014. RNAcentral describes it as "tRNA-Asn". Lineage: Eukaryota; Metazoa; Arthropoda; Insecta; Trichoptera; Apataniidae. The record is from RNAcentral. RNAcentral also lists the same sequence under 1 other name.
UUAAUUAAAACCAAAAAGAGGUAUAUUAUUGUUAAUAAUAUUAUUGAUUAAAUAAUCUAAUUAAA